AAAAGUAUGGCAGAACAAGACAUAGACCAAUAUCUCCCACCUUAUCUCAAGAUAAGGUCAAACAAGUUCAUGAUUUAGACAUAAAAGAUAAUACUAUAAGCAAAGAGAGCUAGUGAUAGUUCAGAUCUUUGGAGAAAAAGAGAAAUUUGUGGCCAAAGAAGAAAUAGAGAACAUCUGAAAUGCAAAAAUGGGAAUAUCAACUGGCUUGGAGAAAAGGCCAAGACAAGAAGACCAAUUAGAAGACUACUACAGUAGACCGGGUAAAAGAUCAAAAAGGUCAGACCUUGAGUGAAAGCCAUAUGAGCAGAGAAAGAGAUGGAUGCAAGUAAUAUUGCAGAAGUAGAAUUAACAAGAUUUUAGCAAUUGAUUACAUAUGAGAGAAAGGGACGAAUACAUAACCUCAAGAUUGAAAACUUGGAUGACUAAAAGAAUGUUGAUAACCUUCAAGAGAAAUAGGGAAAUUAAUAAGAGAGAUGGAUUUUGAAGGAAAGAUAACAAAUUCAUUUUAGGUGUGCUAAAUUUGAUUUAUCAAAAGCCAUCCAGGUGGAGGAGAUAUACAGCAGAGUUAAUAAUAUUGAACUGAAGACCAAGAGACAGAAGAAAGAUGGAUAUUUAUUUAGAAAUCACACGCAUAGAUAUGAAAAUUGAACCACAGAAACUGAUCACCAAGAGAAAGCAAGGGGGCAGUGGGGGAGAGGAGAGAAGGAGAUCUAGAACAGGACUCUGAAGCUACGUUAAUGAUGAUCCAACAAAAGAGACAGAGAAGUUCUCAAGUAGGUACGAGAGAAUGAAUGUCUGAAGAGGGUGGUCAACAAUGCAAAAAGUUGCAGAGCAUACAAGAAAGAUAAACAAAGAACAUAUGUGGAACUGUCUAUAUUAAUAUAAAAUUGUAGCUCUGCAUUAACAUGAAAGGCACUGUGCUUAGAAUUGCAAAUAAAAAGAAAAAAUAAAACAGUCCCCACUCACAAAGAAUUUACUAGGGAACUGGAUACAGGCUCACAGAUAAGUAAACAAAUAGGAAAAAGAGAUCACUAACAACUGUGGAAGACAGAAAAGGUACAAGCACAAAGCGAGGAAAAUAUGGUCAAAUCAAGAAGUAGUUAUCAAGGAUCUAUUGUGUAACAAUAAUAAA
Antechinus flavipes (yellow-footed antechinus) is the source of this 1132-nucleotide long non-coding RNA. RefSeq lists it as uncharacterized. Lineage: Eukaryota; Metazoa; Chordata; Mammalia; Dasyuromorphia; Dasyuridae. The transcript has 2 exons. The record is from RefSeq and is a predicted model, not a curated record.